RNAcentral lists this ribosomal RNA (437 nucleotides) under Calvactaea tumida. RNAcentral's name for it is "partial 16S ribosomal RNA". Lineage: Eukaryota; Metazoa; Arthropoda; Malacostraca; Decapoda; Xanthidae. The record is from RNAcentral.
CAAAGGUAGCAUAAUCAUUAGAGCUUUAACUGGAAUAUAAUAUGAAGGGUUUGACAAAGGAAGAACUGUCUUUGAAAUAUAAAAUGAAAUUUACCUUUAAGUGAAAAGGCUUUAAUAUGUCAAAGGGGCGAUAAGAUCCUAUAAAACCUUAUAAGUAUUUUUUUUUGUGGUAAAAUUGAGUUUACUUAUCUUUUUUUUAUUGGGGUGAUGUGAGUAUAAUUGUUGUUAUUAAAAAUUCUAAUGUAGAAGAAUCAUUAGUUCAUGACCCCUUUGAAUAUUAAAAUACCAAGUUACUUUAGGGAUAACAGUGUUAUUUCAUUUGAGAGUUCAUAUCGAAAAAGAAGAUUCCGAAUUCGAUGUUGAUUUAAAAUAUCUAUAUAAUGCAUUCGUUAUAAAAGAAGGUCUCUUUGACUUUUGAAUUUUUACAUGAUUUGAUU